RNAcentral lists this ribosomal RNA (272 nucleotides) under uncultured Ascomycota. RNAcentral describes it as "partial 18S ribosomal RNA". It matches the Rfam family "Eukaryotic small subunit ribosomal RNA", at positions 548 to 827 of the family's 1831-position model. The record is from RNAcentral. Lineage: Eukaryota; Fungi; Ascomycota.
UUGGAGGGCAAGUCUGGUGCCAGCAGCCGCGGUAAUUCCAGCUCCAAUAGCGUAUAUUAAAGUUGUUGCAGUUAAAAAGCUCGUAGUUGAACCUUGGGUCUGGCUGGCCGGUCCGCCUCACCGCGUGCACUGGUCCGGCCGGGCCUUUCCUUCUGGGGAGCCCCAUGGCCUUCACUGGCUGUGGGGGGAACCAGGACUUUUACUGUGAAAAAAUUAGAGUGUUCAAAGCAGGCCUUUGCUCGGAUACAUUAGCAUGGAAUAAUAGAAUAGGA